Molecule: ribosomal RNA, 380 nt
Filed under: Clostridioides difficile
Lineage: Bacteria; Bacillati; Bacillota; Clostridia; Peptostreptococcales; Peptostreptococcaceae
Description: bacterial LSU rRNA
Rfam family: Bacterial large subunit ribosomal RNA
Source: RNAcentral
UCAGGUGGCCGCAGAGAAUAGGCCCAAGCGACUGUUUACCAAAAACAUAGGUUUCUGCUAAGUCGCAAGACGAUGUAUAGGAGCUGACGCCUGCCCGGUGCUGGAAGGUUAAGGGGAUCUGUUAGAGCAAUCGAAGCAGUGAACUUAAGCCCCAGUAAACGGCGGCCGUAACUAUACCGGUCCUAAGGUAGCGAAAUUCCUUGUCGGGUAAGUGCCGACCCGCACGAAAGGCGUAACGAUUUGGGCACUGUCUCAACAACAGACUCGGUGAAAUUGUAAUUCCGGUGAAGAUGCCGGAUACCUGCGACAGGACGGAAAGACCCCAUGGAGCUUUACUGUAGCUUGACAUUGGGUCUUGGUACUACAUGUACAGGAUAGGU